Molecule: ribosomal RNA, 2772 nt
Filed under: human gut metagenome
Description: bacterial LSU rRNA
Rfam family: Bacterial large subunit ribosomal RNA
Source: RNAcentral
AGCGUACACGGUGGAUGCCCUGGCAGUCAGAGGCGAUGAAGGACGUGCUAAUCUGCGAUAAGCGUCGGUAAGGUGAUAUGAACCGUUAUAACCGGCGAUUUCCGAAUGGGGAAACCCAGUGUGUUUCGACACACUAUCAUUAACUGAAUCCAUAGGUUAAUGAGGCGAACCGGGGGAACUGAAACAUCUAAGUACCCCGAGGAAAAGAAAUCAACCGAGAUUCCCCCAGUAGCGGCGAGCGAACGGGGAGCAGCCCAGAGCCUGAAUCAGUGUGUGUGUUAGUGGAAGCGUCUGGAAAGGCGCGCGAUACAGGGUGACAGCCCCGUACACAAAAAUGCACAUGCUGUGAGCUCGAUGAGUAGGGCGGGACACGUGGUAUCCUGUCUGAAUAUGGGGGGACCAUCCUCCAAGGCUAAAUACUCCUGACUGACCGAUAGUGAACCAGUACCGUGAGGGAAAGGCGAAAAGAACCCCGGCGAGGGGAGUGAAAAAGAACCUGAAACCGUGUACGUACAAGCAGUGGGAGCACGCUUAGGCGUGUGACUGCGUACCUUUUGUAUAAUGGGUCAGCGACUUAUAUUCUGUAGCAAGGUUAACCGAAUAGGGGAGCCGAAGGGAAACCGAGUCUUAACUGGGCGUUAAGUUGCAGGGUAUAGACCCGAAACCCGGUGAUCUAGCCAUGGGCAGGUUGAAGGUUGGGUAACACUAACUGGAGGACCGAACCGACUAAUGUUGAAAAAUUAGCGGAUGACUUGUGGCUGGGGGUGAAAGGCCAAUCAAACCGGGAGAUAGCUGGUUCUCCCCGAAAGCUAUUUAGGUAGCGCCUCGUGAAUUCAUCUCCGGGGGUAGAGCACUGUUUCGGCAAGGGGGUCAUCCCGACUUACCAACCCGAUGCAAACUGCGAAUACCGGAGAAUGUUAUCACGGGAGACACACGGCGGGUGCUAACGUCCGUCGUGAAGAGGGAAACAACCCAGACCGCCAGCUAAGGUCCCAAAGUCAUGGUUAAGUGGGAAACGAUGUGGGAAGGCCCAGACAGCCAGGAUGUUGGCUUAGAAGCAGCCAUCAUUUAAAGAAAGCGUAAUAGCUCACUGGUCGAGUCGGCCUGCGCGGAAGAUGUAACGGGGCUAAACCAUGCACCGAAGCUGCGGCAGCGACACUAUGUGUUGUUGGGUAGGGGAGCGUUCUGUAAGCCUGUGAAGGUGUGCUGUGAGGCAUGCUGGAGGUAUCAGAAGUGCGAAUGCUGACAUAAGUAACGAUAAAGCGGGUGAAAAGCCCGCUCGCCGGAAGACCAAGGGUUCCUGUCCAACGUUAAUCGGGGCAGGGUGAGUCGACCCCUAAGGCGAGGCCGAAAGGCGUAGUCGAUGGGAAACAGGUUAAUAUUCCUGUACUUGGUGUUACUGCGAAGGGGGGACGGAGAAGGCUAUGUUGGCCGGGCGACGGUUGUCCCGGUUUAAGCGUGUAGGCUGGUUUUCCAGGCAAAUCCGGAAAAUCAAGGCUGAGGCGUGAUGACGAGGCACUACGGUGCUGAAGCAACAAAUGCCCUGCUUCCAGGAAAAGCCUCUAAGCAUCAGGUAACAUCAAAUCGUACCCCAAACCGACACAGGUGGUCAGGUAGAGAAUACCAAGGCGCUUGAGAGAACUCGGGUGAAGGAACUAGGCAAAAUGGUGCCGUAACUUCGGGAGAAGGCACGCUGAUAUGUAGGUGAAGUCCCUCGCGGAUGGAGCUGAAAUCAGUCGAAGAUACCAGCUGGCUGCAACUGUUUAUUAAAAACACAGCACUGUGCAAACACGAAAGUGGACGUAUACGGUGUGACGCCUGCCCGGUGCCGGAAGGUUAAUUGAUGGGGUUAGCGCAAGCGAAGCUCUUGAUCGAAGCCCCGGUAAACGGCGGCCGUAACUAUAACGGUCCUAAGGUAGCGAAAUUCCUUGUCGGGUAAGUUCCGACCUGCACGAAUGGCGUAAUGAUGGCCAGGCUGUCUCCACCCGAGACUCAGUGAAAUUGAACUCGCUGUGAAGAUGCAGUGUACCCGCGGCAAGACGGAAAGACCCCGUGAACCUUUACUAUAGCUUGACACUGAACAUUGAGCCUUGAUGUGUAGGAUAGGUGGGAGGCUUUGAAGUGUGGACGCCAGUCUGCAUGGAGCCGACCUUGAAAUACCACCCUUUAAUGUUUGAUGUUCUAACGUUGACCCGUAAUCCGGGUUGCGGACAGUGUCUGGUGGGUAGUUUGACUGGGGCGGUCUCCUCCUAAAGAGUAACGGAGGAGCACGAAGGUUGGCUAAUCCUGGUCGGACAUCAGGAGGUUAGUGCAAUGGCAUAAGCCAGCUUGACUGCGAGCGUGACGGCGCGAGCAGGUGCGAAAGCAGGUCAUAGUGAUCCGGUGGUUCUGAAUGGAAGGGCCAUCGCUCAACGGAUAAAAGGUACUCCGGGGAUAACAGGCUGAUACCGCCCAAGAGUUCAUAUCGACGGCGGUGUUUGGCACCUCGAUGUCGGCUCAUCACAUCCUGGGGCUGAAGUAGGUCCCAAGGGUAUGGCUGUUCGCCAUUUAAAGUGGUACGCGAGCUGGGUUUAGAACGUCGUGAGACAGUUCGGUCCCUAUCUGCCGUGGGCGCUGGAGAACUGAGGGGGGCUGCUCCUAGUACGAGAGGACCGGAGUGGACGCAUCACUGGUGUUCGGGUUGUCAUGCCAAUGGCACUGCCCGGUAGCUAAAUGCGGAAGAGAUAAGUGCUGAAAGCAUCUAAGCACGAAACUUGCCCCGAGAUGAGUUCU